UUAAGCGACUAAGCGUACACGGUGGAUGCCCUGGCAGUCAGAGGCGAUGAAGGGCGUGCUAAUCUGCGAUAAGCGCCGGUAAGGUGAUAUGAACCGUUAUAACCGGCGAUACCCGAAUGGGGAAACCCAGUGUGACUCGUCACACUAUCAUUAACUGAAUCCAUAGGUUAAUGAGGCGAACCGGGGGAACUGAAACAUCUAAGUACCCCGAGGAAAAGAAAUCAACCGAGAUUCCCCCAGUAGCGGCGAGCGAACGGGGAGGAGCCCAGAGCCUGAAUCAGCAUGUGUGUUAGUGGAAGCGUCUGGAAAGGCGCGCGAUACAGGGUGACAGCCCCGUACACAAAAGCGCAUGUGCUGUGAGCUCGAUGAGUAGGGCGGGACACGUGGUAUCCUGUCUGAAUAUGGGGGGACCAUCCUCCAAGGCUAAAUACUCCUGACUGACCGAUAGUGAACCAGUACCGUGAGGGAAAGGCGAAAAGAACCCCGGCGAGGGGAGUGAAAAAGAACCUGAAACCGUGUACGUACAAGCAGUGGGAGCCCCACCACUAAGCCAGUGGUGAACUCCACAUACGCAUCCUUUGCUGAGGAUACGGUUAACGGAGCGAAAGCGACGUUCAACCGCAAAAGAAGCAGAGGGGGCUUAGUGGUGGGGUGACUGCGUACCUUUUGUAUAAUGGGUCAGCGACUUAUAUUCUGUAGCAAGGUUAACCGAAUAGGGGAGCCGGAGGGAAACCGAGUCUUAAUUGGGCGUUAAGUUGCAGGGUAUAGACCCGAAACCCGGUGAUCUAGCCAUGGGCAGGUUGAAGGUUGGGUAACACUAACUGGAGGACCGAACCGACUAAUGUUGAAAAAUUAGCGGAUGACCUGUGGCUGGGGGUGAAAGGCCAAUCAAACCGGGAGAUAGCUGGUUCUCCCCGAAAGCUAUUUAGGUAGCGCCUCGUGAAUUCAUCUCCGGGGGUAGAGCACUGUUUCGGCUAGGGGGCCAUCCCGGCUUACCAACCCGAUGCAAACUGCGAAUACCGGAGAAUGUUAUCACGGGAGACACACGGCGGGUGCUAACGUCCGUCGUGAAGAGGGAAACAACCCAGACCGCCAGCUAAGGUCCCAAAGUCAUGGUUAAGUGGGAAACGAUGUGGGAAGGCCCAGACAGCCAGGAUGUUGGCUUAGAAGCAGCCAUCAUUUAAAGAAAGCGUAAUAGCUCACUGGUCGAGUCGGCCUGCGCGGAAGAUGUAACGGGGCUAAACCAUGCACCGAAGCUGCGGCAGCGACGCUUAUGCGUUGUUGGGUAGGGGAGCGUUCUGUAAGCCUGUGAAGGUGGCCUGUGAGGGUUGCUGGAGGUAUCAGAAGUGCGAAUGCUGACAUAAGUAACGAUAAAGCGGGUGAAAAGCCCGCUCGCCGGAAGACCAAGGGUUCCUGUCCAACGUUAAUCGGGGCAGGGUGAGUCGACCCCUAAGGCGAGGCCGAAAGGCGUAGUCGAUGGGAAACGGGUUAAUAUUCCCGUACUUGGUGUUACUGCGAAGGGGGGACGGAGAAGGCUAUGUUGGCCGGGCGACGGUUGUCCCGGUUUAAGCGUGUAGGUGUGUGUUCCAGGUAAAUCCGGUUCACUUUAACACUGAGGCGUGACGACGAGGCACUACGGUGCUGAAGCAACAAAUGCCCUGCUUCCAGGAAAAGCCUCUAAGCAUCAGGUAACAUCAAAUCGUACCCCAAACCGACACAGGUGGUCAGGUAGAGAAUACCAAGGCGCUUGAGAGAACUCGGGUGAAGGAACUAGGCAAAAUGGUGCCGUAACUUCGGGAGAAGGCACGCUGACACGUAGGUGAAGUGAUUUACUCACGGAGCUGAAGUCAGUCGAAGAUACCAGCUGGCUGCAACUGUUUAUUAAAAACACAGCACUGUGCAAACACGAAAGUGGACGUAUACGGUGUGACGCCUGCCCGGUGCCGGAAGGUUAAUUGAUGGGGUCAGCGCAAGCGAAGCUCCUGAUCGAAGCCCCGGUAAACGGCGGCCGUAACUAUAACGGUCCUAAGGUAGCGAAAUUCCUUGUCGGGUAAGUUCCGACCUGCACGAAUGGCGUAAUGAUGGCCAGGCUGUCUCCACCCGAGACUCAGUGAAAUUGAACUCGCUGUGAAGAUGCAGUGUACCCGCGGCAAGACGGAAAGACCCCGUGAACCUUUACUAUAGCUUGACACUGAACAUUGAGCCUUGAUGUGUAGGAUAGGUGGGAGGCUUUGAAGUGUGGACGCCAGUCUGCAUGGAGCCGACCUUGAAAUACCACCCUUUAAUGUUUGAUGUUCUAACGUGGACCCGUAAUCCGGGUUGCGGACAGUGUCUGGUGGGUAGUUUGACUGGGGCGGUCUCCUCCUAAAGAGUAACGGAGGAGCACGAAGGUUGGCUAAUCCUGGUCGGACAUCAGGAGGUUAGUGCAAUGGCAUAAGCCAGCUUGACUGCGAGCGUGACGGCGCGAGCAGGUGCGAAAGCAGGUCAUAGUGAUCCGGUGGUUCUGAAUGGAAGGGCCAUCGCUCAACGGAUAAAAGGUACUCCGGGGAUAACAGGCUGAUACCGCCCAAGAGUUCAUAUCGACGGCGGUGUUUGGCACCUCGAUGUCGGCUCAUCACAUCCUGGGGCUGAAGUAGGUCCCAAGGGUAUGGCUGUUCGCCAUUUAAAGUGGUACGCGAGCUGGGUUUAGAACGUCGUGAGACAGUUCGGUCCCUAUCUGCCGUGGGCGCUGGAGAACUGAGGGGGGCUGCUCCUAGUACGAGAGGACCGGAGUGGACGCAUCACUGGUGUUCGGGUUGUCAUGCCAAUGGCACUGCCCGGUAGCUAAAUGCGGAAGAGAUAAGUGCUGAAAGCAUCUAAGCACGAAACUUGCCCCGAGAUGAGUUCUCCCUGAGACUUAAAGUCUCCUGAAGGAACGUUGAAGACGACGACGUUGAUAGGCCGGGUGUGUAAGCGCAGCGAUACGUUGAGCUAACCGGUACUAAUGAACCGUGAGGCUUAACCUU
This 3005-nucleotide ribosomal RNA is filed under the name Salmonella enterica. RNAcentral describes it as "bacterial LSU rRNA". It matches the Rfam family "Bacterial large subunit ribosomal RNA". The record is from RNAcentral. Lineage: Bacteria; Pseudomonadati; Pseudomonadota; Gammaproteobacteria; Enterobacterales; Enterobacteriaceae.